ACGGAGUUCCCCCGUGCUGUGAAAACUGUAAUUGGUCAUAUGGUAUAAGUGGAAGAUUAGGGGAUAUUUUAAUUCACUUCUCCUAGAAUCUUUCGUAGUUGCAGAUUGGGAACAUCUGUGCUCAGUGCAGGACGGAGGGCAUUACAUUUUUAUCAAAAAGAAUUGAGAACACAAGAAGAAAUAUGUAUUGGCUCACACUUUCACUUUCUUU
Molecule: non-coding RNA, 211 nt
Organism: Pelobates cultripes (western spadefoot toad)
Lineage: Eukaryota; Metazoa; Chordata; Amphibia; Anura; Pelobatidae
Source: the annotation of a GenBank genome assembly